UACGUAGGGUGCAGGCGUUAUCCGGAUUCACUGGGUUUAAAGGGUGCGUAGGUGGGCAGGUAAGUCAGUGGUGAAAUCUCUAAGCUUAACUUAGAAACUGCCGUUGAUACUAUCUGUCUUGAAUGUAGUGGAGGUGAGCGGAAUAUGUCAUGUAGCGGUGAAAUGCUUAGAUAUGACAUAGAACACCCAUUGCGAAGGCAGCUCGCUACACUAUUAUUGACACUGAGGCACGAAAGCGUGGGGAUCAAACAGG
This 253-nucleotide ribosomal RNA is filed under the name uncultured bacterium. RNAcentral describes it as "partial 16S ribosomal RNA". It matches the Rfam family "Bacterial small subunit ribosomal RNA", at positions 524 to 776 of the family's 1533-position model. The record is from RNAcentral.